Molecule: ribosomal RNA, 513 nt
Filed under: uncultured bacterium
Lineage: Bacteria
Description: partial 16S ribosomal RNA
Rfam family: Bacterial small subunit ribosomal RNA
Source: RNAcentral
GAUGAACGCUGGCGGCGUGCCUAAUACAUGCAAGUCGAACGCGCAGCGAAAGGUGCUUGCACCUUUCAAGCGAGUGGCGAACGGGUGAGUAACACGUGGAUAACCUGCCUCAAGGCUGGGGAUAACAUUUGGAAACAGAUGCUAAUACCGAAUAAAACUUAGUAUCGCAUGAUACAAAGUUAAAAGGCGCUACGGCGUCACCUAGAGAUGGAUCCGCGGUGCAUUAGUUAGUUGGUGGGGUAAAGGCUUACCAAGACGAUGAUGCAUAGCCGAGUUGGGAGACUGAUAGGCCACAUUGGGACUGAGACACGGCCCAAACUCCUACGGGAGGCUGCAGUAGGGAAUCUUCCACAAUGGGCGCAAGCCUGAUGGAGCAACGCCGCGUGUGUGAUGAAGGCUUUCGGGUCGUAAAGCACUGUUGUAUGGGAAGAAAUGCUAAAAUAGGGAAUGAUUUUAGUUUGACGGUACCAUACCAGAAAGGGACGGCUAAAUACGUGCCAGCCGCCGCCGUAA